UCCACUUGACAUUGAUGUGGCAUUUUUGGGCCCCACGGAGAGCCCCAAAUCUGGGAGGAAUCACCACCUUCCUUGGAAAUAAGCACAUCUCAAGGCACUGGCUGAUCUGAAAGACUUGUGUCUCCCUGCCUGUGACCUGGCAUCUUCUGCUUAACAUGUUGAUUUUCACCAAAUAGACCCAUAUAAGAAGAAUUUGUCAGCAGGAAGUUAAGAAAAGAUAAGGAGAACUCCACUAACUGGGCUCCUUCAAAUAUACAUCAAAUUGCCUCCAAGUUUGCCAAACCUUCCAAGGAGGAAUUAAGGAAUACAAAAGAGAUGGAGAAACGACUGGUAUGAAGGAGAGCUGAAAGCCUACAGAACAUUUUCAGAGGCAAAUCAGUACAUAUGGAUUCCCCUUGCCACAAAUGACAGCCGGGACACUUGACUGCUGCAUCCUUUUCAACUUGGAGAUGCUCUAGCCCUGAAAACUGCAUGGUCACCCUGGAAAUGUGGGAUAAGCAGGAUAAAAUUGCAGGAUGCCCCUGGGAGGUUGUUUUAAAAGCAGAUCAGAAGCAACAGUCUGCACAGGAAAAUUUUGAUCUAUUCCUUAGUUCCUACUUCUUCAAUUUUGGAGACGCACAUUAAUAAACCAUAAAAGUAAAUUAUCCCUCCACCGACAAAGAUCCAACCUUGACCUUUCUGCAGCACAAUUAACAUGCAAAAGCAUUUUUGCCAUAUGACUAAAAUUGUUCCUUUCAUUUACACCUCAUUUUCUGCCAGCACCAAUGUGUAAGGUGGUCAUGACUCACAAUAAAUGUCUGGUAGUUCUACAAUAAAAUCCUGAUUUUGAGGGACUUCCAAUUUGAGCUGGACAAAAACCUCAUAAGAUGUAACUUACUCUUGAAUUCAGCAUUCUGGUCCACAUACAGCUUUGUUUCCUCUGAUUUUUGUGUGUGAAAUUUUCUCACCAGGGGUUUCCUAGAAGUAAAUCUUGUUCUCAUGUCUCACACAAAAGCAACCCUGCUACAAGUACCUGACCCUUGGCAUGCAACAGAGGAAUGUACUUGAUUCACUGCUAUCAUUUAUGGUAUUUUUGCCAGUGCUGCAGUUGUGCCACUCCAUUCCUAAGCAGGAAAAACCACCCUUGGAUGGGCUGCAGCCAGAUGACAACUGGUAAUGCUGAGAUGCUGCAGGUGGCACACGUGGCUGGGGAAGUUUGCACACAAGCACCCAUCAGGCAUUUCAGAGCUCUACAUACAUAAAAGUUCUGCUAAUUUCUACAAUAAACGUGCAGGGGACAAACUCUAUAUUUAAAUUGCAGUUCAAACUUUGGACUUAACACUAUUGUAUUUUAAUAUGCUAAAUGUCAUGUGGCUUCUGGUAGUGGAAUAAUACAAGCAACUCAGUCUGUUAUGCAUUCACGGAUUAGGUUGUAAAUGUUUGUAAACCAGGCAAUAAAGCUGUGUGAGCAGAAGCAUUUACAAGAUAAUAGUGAAGUAAUUUGAGUUUUAAAAUUAUAGAAGUUGGUGUUUGGCAAUGUUGUGUGGGGAGACAGACACCGGACAGCUGAAAACAUAGAAAACAUUAUAACCAACAGAAGAACACAGUCCAAGGUGAAGAACAGCUUCCAAAUAUGUAUAAAUGGCAUGAUUUAGGGAUAAACAUUGCAGAUCAUUUUGCCUUUAGAUAAAGGAGGGUCUGUUUUCUUGCAACAAGAGCUCUGGAUCUUCUCUCCUGGUCAUUUGCAAAGCAAAGGGAUUGGGAAUGUGAUGCUAAACUUUUGGAGAAUGCACAUGAGCAUAAUUAUGUGUUGGUAGUUAAUGACAUUAAACUUAAAUCUCAAU
Passer domesticus (house sparrow) is the source of this 1823-nucleotide long non-coding RNA. RefSeq lists it as uncharacterized. Lineage: Eukaryota; Metazoa; Chordata; Aves; Passeriformes; Passeridae. The record is from RefSeq and is a predicted model, not a curated record. The transcript is spliced from 3 exons.